GGGGCUGUUUGGCUUUGACAGCGGGCAGGAAUGGUAUGUAAGCAGGCAGUGCUCUGUCGGUCUGCACUAUAAAAAGACAGUCAACAAUUAUCUGGCAACAACAAUUUUGCUCUUGCUGCUUGACCGAAGUACAGUAGGUCUGCUUAAUCACGGCACAAGGUGCUGUGACAGGACAUCACCCGGAAGCUCUUGCUCCGAAGCUCGUCGAACAGGUGGUGCAGUCAAAUCGGGGAUAGCCGGUGGCGGCUUCGCGUCACAGGUGAAACUUUAGAAGAUAAGGAUCAGAUUUGGUAGCUCUGGCCGGAGCUGGUCUCGAAAAUCCAAGCAGAGAUAAGCCUGUAGAAAGCAUAUGGUUUCCCCGUUUGGACGAGGGUUCGACUCCCUCCAGCUCCACUC
RNAcentral lists this transfer-messenger RNA (396 nucleotides) under Bacteroidaceae. RNAcentral's name for it is "UBA1179 sp018065615 Standard tmRNA". It matches the Rfam family "transfer-messenger RNA". From Rfam's summary of the family: Bacterial tmRNA, also known as 10Sa RNA or SsrA, is named for its dual tRNA and mRNA-like properties. Its role is to liberate the mRNA from a stalled ribosome. To accomplish this part of the tmRNA is used as a reading frame that ends in a translation stop signal. The record is from RNAcentral. Lineage: Bacteria; Pseudomonadati; Bacteroidota; Bacteroidia; Bacteroidales. RNAcentral also lists the same sequence under 1 other name.